Molecule: ribosomal RNA, 207 nt
Filed under: uncultured bacterium
Lineage: Bacteria
Description: partial 16S ribosomal RNA
Rfam family: Bacterial small subunit ribosomal RNA
Source: RNAcentral
CGUGUAGGCGGCCAAACAGGUCCGUUGUGAAAACUGGAGGCUCAACUUCCAGACGUCGACGGAAACCGUAUGGCUAGAGUCCGGAAGAGGAGAGUGGAAUUCCUGGUGUAGCGGUGAAAUGCGCAGAUAUCAGGAAGAACACCAAUGGCGAAGGCAGCUCUCUGGGACGGUACUGACGCUGAGACACGAAAGCGUGGGGAGCGAACA